Molecule: long non-coding RNA, 245 nt
Filed under: Pan troglodytes (chimpanzee)
Lineage: Eukaryota; Metazoa; Chordata; Mammalia; Primates; Hominidae
Description: lncRNA (ENSPTRG00000053537.1)
Source: RNAcentral
CACAUACUUGUAGAACUGUGAUAGUCAUUGAAAACUCUUCACAAAAUAUUUUUAUUCUCAUUCCAGCUCUUGAUUCCAUUUGGAGAUGGCAGCUUGAUGUUACAGUCAACUGAGGCCUUCCUAGUAUAAGUUCCAAAAGUAUGGUCCACCUGGCAUCUAAACAAAUAAAGACACUGAAACUGAAGCCUGGGCCCUUGGCCACCGCGCUCCAUUCCUUCACACGCAUCCCUACUCCUUACCCAUAA